UACGUAGGUGACGAGCGUUGUCCGGAUUUACUGGGCGUAAAGAGCGCGCAGGCGGUCGUUCAAGUCGAGUGUGAAAGCCCCCGGCUCAACUGGGGAGGGUCACUCGAUACUGAUCGACUCGAAGGCAGGAGAGGGUAGUGGAAUUCCCGGUGUAGUGGUGAAAUGCGUAGAUAUGCGGAGGAACACCGAUGGCGAAGGCAAUCCCCUGGGCCUGCACUGACGCUCAUGCACGAAAGCGUGGGGAGCAAACAGG
This 253-nucleotide ribosomal RNA is filed under the name uncultured bacterium. RNAcentral's name for it is "partial 16S ribosomal RNA". It matches the Rfam family "Bacterial small subunit ribosomal RNA", at positions 524 to 776 of the family's 1533-position model. The record is from RNAcentral.